CCUACGGGUGGCUGCAGUGGGGAAUAUAGGACAAUGGGGGAAACCCUGAUGCAGCGACGCCGCGUGAGCGAAGAAGUAUUUCUGUAUGUAAAGCCCUAUCAGCAGGGAAGAAAAUGACGGUACCUGAGUAAGAAGCUCCGGCUAAAUACGUGCCAGCAGCCGCGGUAAUACGUAUGGAGCAAGCGUUAUCCGGAUUUACUGGGCGUAAAGGGGGCGUAGGCGGGUUGCCAAGUCUGAUGUGAAAUACCGGGGGUCAACCCCGGGGCUGCAGUGGAAACUGGCAGGCUGGAGUGCCGGAGAGGCAGGCGGAAUGCGUGGUGUAGCGGUGAAAUGCAUAGAUAUCAGGAAGAACACCGGUGGCGAAGGCAGCCUGCUGGACGGUGACUGACGCUGAGGCUCGAAAGCGUGGGGAGCGAACAGGAUUAGAUACCCGGGUAGUC
This 440-nucleotide ribosomal RNA is filed under the name uncultured bacterium. RNAcentral describes it as "partial 16S ribosomal RNA". It matches the Rfam family "Bacterial small subunit ribosomal RNA", at positions 338 to 795 of the family's 1533-position model. The record is from RNAcentral.